RNAcentral lists this unclassified non-coding RNA (19 nucleotides) under Expression vector pKK126. The record is from RNAcentral.
AGGUAAUGUUUUUUCAGAC